GACGAACGCUGGCGGCGUGCUUAACACAUGCAAGUCGAACGGAAAGGCCCUGCUUGCAGGGUGCUCGAGUGGCGAACGGGUGAGUAACACGUGGGUGAUUUGCCCCUUCCUUUGGGAUAAGCCUGGUAAACGGGGUCUAAUGCUGGAAAGGGCCGCGCUUUAGGCGUAGUGGUGGAAAGUUUCGUGUAGGUGAGGGAUGAACUCGCGGCCUAUCAGAUUGUUGGUGGGGUAAUGGCCUACCAAGGCGUCGACGGGUAGCCGGCCUGAGAGGGUGGUCGGCCACAUUGGGACUGAGAUACGGCGCAGACUCCUACGGGAGGCAGCAGUGGGGAAGAGUGCACAAUGGGCGCAAGCCUGAUGCAGCGACGCCGCGUGGGGGAUGACGGCCUGCGGGUUGUAAACUCCUUUCAGCCAUGACGAAGCCCUUGUGGUGACGGUAGUGGUAGAAGAAGCACCGGCUAACUACGUG
RNAcentral lists this ribosomal RNA (469 nucleotides) under uncultured bacterium. Its description in RNAcentral is "partial 16S ribosomal RNA". It matches the Rfam family "Bacterial small subunit ribosomal RNA", at positions 28 to 507 of the family's 1533-position model. The record is from RNAcentral.